Molecule: ribosomal RNA, 492 nt
Filed under: uncultured bacterium
Lineage: Bacteria
Description: partial 16S ribosomal RNA
Rfam family: Bacterial small subunit ribosomal RNA
Source: RNAcentral
AGUGAACGCUGGCGGUAGGCCUAACACAUGCAAGUCGAACGGCAGCACAGUAAGAGCUUGCGCUUACGGGUGGCGAGUGGCGGACGGGUGAGGAAUACAUCGGACUCUACUUUUUCGUGGGGGAUAACGUAGGGAAACUUACGCUAAUACCGCAUACGACCUACGGGGGAAAGCAGGGGAACUUCGGACCUUGCGCGAUUGAAUGAGCGGCUGUCGGGUUAGCUAGUUGGCGGGCGAAAGGCCAAGCUAGGCGGCGAUCCGUAGCUGGUCUGUGAGGAUGGUCAGCCACACUGGAGCUGAGACACGGUCCAUGCGCCUACGGGAGGCACCAGUGGCGUAUAUUGGACAAUGGGCGCAAGCCUGGUCCAGCCAUACCGCGUGUGUGAAGAAGGCCUUCGGGUUGUAAAGCCCUUUUGUUGGGAAAGAACAGCAGCAGGUUAAUACCCCGCUGUUCUGACGGUACCCAAUGAAUAAGCACCGGCUAACUUCGUG